CAGAGAGCAGCUGUUACUUAACAACUGCUAGAUAUGCUCAGUUAACCCUGCUAUCCCUGCAGGGAAGAAACCCCAGUUCGAAUUUAUGUUAACCAUCCAGCAGAAGCACAUAUCAGUCAAAUCCUCAGCAUUAAUUGAGGGAAGAGAGACUGAGAGAAAUCAUUACCUAAAUCAUUAGCUUCACUGAUGGCAUUCAGUCAACAUCUCACUUUUUCCCAUAAGUAAGCAGUUUAUUAGUGGCCUGAUAGAAAGCAAAUUCAAAUCAAACAUUUAAUUCCACUAAAAAAAAUAAACUUCUUCCUGUCAGCAUUUCAGAAGAGUUUUUGCUGUCAAAAAACCACAGUGAUGCAAUGAUGCACUUCUCCAAAUUCAUCCACUACAAGUCAUUAAAAGAAGAAAUUAGCUGUAUGUUACUUCCAUUACUACCAGCUGAAGCACAAGUGGAACAAAGUUAGAUGGGGUGAGAAGAAGGAUUGGAACACAUAUUAAGGUAACUGUUGAUCAGUCCUGCACAUCAGCUUGGAGAAAUUUGAGCCCAUUCCUCACUACAGAGCAACUUCAACUCUGGGAUGUUGGUGGGUUUCCUCACAUGAACUGCUUGCUUCACAACAUUUCUAUUGGAUUAAGCUGAACCAGAAAAGGCCAACAGGAAAUGGGGGAGAAUGUUGGACCUGGGAGGACACCGUGUGGAUGCUGAAAACUUGGAUGGAGAAUGCUUAACGCAAUUGGCUAGGAGAGUCCAAUCCCACUCCUGAAAGACACGAGAGGAGGGGAACAAAUUAGACUUCGUAUUUGCAACAACAUUCCAGUGGCAUGUCCAUACUACAAAAGUCAAAUGCACACAAAAAACACUACCUAUUCAUAUUCACAUUAGAGAGGAAAAACAGCCCCGAACACGUCAUUAUUACCAUUGAACUGAUUAAUAUGAGAGCGAAGAGGGCGGAGGACUUCACCUGCAU
Ictalurus furcatus (blue catfish) is the source of this 959-nucleotide long non-coding RNA. RefSeq lists it as uncharacterized. The record is from RefSeq and is a predicted model, not a curated record. Lineage: Eukaryota; Metazoa; Chordata; Actinopteri; Siluriformes; Ictaluridae. The transcript is spliced from 4 exons.